AGUGAACGCUGGCGGUAGGCCUAACACAUGCAAGUCGAACGGCAGCACAGUAAGAGCUUGCUCUUACGGGUGGCGAGUGGCGGACGGGUGAGGAAUACAUCGGAAUCUACUUUUUCGUGGGGGAUAACGUAGGGAAACUUACGCUAAUACCGCAUACGACCUACGGGUGAAAGCAGGGGAUCUUCGGACCUUGCGCGAUUGAAUGAGCCGAUGUCGGAUUAGCUAGUUGGCGGGGUAAAGGCCCACCAAGGCGACGAUCCGUAGCUGGUCUGAGAGGAUGGUCAGCCACACUGGAACUGAGACACGGUCCAGACUCCUACGGGAGGCAGCAGUGGGGAAUAUUGGACAAUGGGCGCAAGCCUGAGCCAGCCAUACCGCGUGGGUGAAGAAGGCCUUCGGGUUGUAAAGCCCUUUUGUUGGGAAAGAAAAGCAGCAGGUUAAUACCCCGCUGUUCUGACGGUACCCAAAGAAUAAGCACCGGCUAACUUCGU
This 491-nucleotide ribosomal RNA is filed under the name uncultured bacterium. Its description in RNAcentral is "partial 16S ribosomal RNA". It matches the Rfam family "Bacterial small subunit ribosomal RNA", at positions 29 to 506 of the family's 1533-position model. The record is from RNAcentral.